Long non-coding RNA from Salvia splendens (bonfire salvia), 823 nucleotides. RefSeq lists it as uncharacterized. NCBI's taxonomy places the organism in Eukaryota, Viridiplantae, Streptophyta, Magnoliopsida, Lamiales, Lamiaceae. The record is from RefSeq and is a predicted model, not a curated record. The transcript has 3 exons.
GACAGCAGCAUCAAACUACAUAGAGAAACAUCACUUCUUGGCUGGUACAACUUCACUCUUCUUAUGCACAACAUGUAUAGCCAUAAUCACCAUUUUCACCUCAUUUUCCACGAUACACGCAUUAAACACACAAACAACAUACUAUUUCAACCAAACAAACACAAAUCAACCCAUAAAGAGAUCGAAACCUGCGAUUUAUUCAAGGGGCGAUGGAUUCCAGACGAGGCCAGCCCUUUGUACACCAACUACAGCUGCACAACGAUUCCAUUCACGAAAAACUGUUUGUUGCAGGGAAGAAAAGAUAGAUAUUUUCUUCAUUGGAGAUGGAAACCAGACAAAUGCGAGCUGGCUCGUUUUAGUGCACAGACAUUUCUUAGGAUUCUCCGAGGUAAGAAGAUGGCUUUCAUCGGUGAUUCUUUAGCGAGGAAUCGCUGCUUUGUCUCCUCUCCACGGAAGAAACUCCAAAACUAGAAGAAAAAGACGCAGACGACAAAUUCACAAGAUGGGAGUUUCGUCAACACAAUUUCACACUAACGGUAUUCUGGUCUCCUUUCUUAGUCACAGCCACCGCAGAGAUCGUAGUCAACACCUCCCCUUUAUAAACAGAGUUAUCUACCACCUUAUUGAUGCUAGACAAGAAAGAGUUCAUAAAACUAGCUAUGAGUUUGCUUACCUUCUUAAACACACAGUACUACUAUUAAUUUGAUUAAUUUCGGCUUAAGUUCAAAAUAUUUGACAACCGGGCUCAUGGGCUCGUGAACUCUGUAUUGGGUUGGGCUAUUUAAAAUCCAAGGCUUUAUAAAAUUAGUGAAUUUUUAUUGGA